Molecule: ribosomal RNA, 394 nt
Filed under: Stenotrophomonas sp. LL38
Lineage: Bacteria; Pseudomonadati; Pseudomonadota; Gammaproteobacteria; Lysobacterales; Lysobacteraceae
Description: bacterial SSU rRNA
Rfam family: Bacterial small subunit ribosomal RNA
Source: RNAcentral
ACGGCAGCACAGUAAGAGCUUGCUCUUAUGGGUGGCGAGUGGCGGACGGGUGAGGAAUACAUCGGAAUCUACUUUUUCGUGGGGGAUAACGUAGGGAAACUUACGCUAAUACCGCAUACGACCUUCGGGUGAAAGCAGGGGACCUUCGGGCCUUGCGCGAUUGAAUGAGCCGAUGUCGGAUUAGCUAGUUGGCGGGGUAAAGGCCCACCAAGGCGACGAUCCGUAGCUGGUCUGAGAGGAUGAUCAGCCACACUGGAACUGAGACACGGUCCAGACUCCUACGGGAGGCAGCAGUGGGGAAUAUUGGACAAUGGGCGCAAGCCUGAUCCAGCCAUACCGCGUGGGUGAAUAAGGCCUUCGGGUUGUAAAGCCCUUUUGUUGGGAAAAAUACCAC